CCAGACUCCUACGGGAGGCAGCAGUGGGGAAUAUUGGGCAAUGGGCGCAAGCCUGACCCAGCAACGCCGCGUGAAGGAAGAAGGCUUUCGGGUUGUAAACUUCUUUUAAGGGGGGCGAAACAAAUGACGGUACCUCUUGAAUAAGCCACGGCUAACUACGUGCCAGCAGCCGCGGGAAUACGUAGGGGGCAAGCGUUAUCCGGAUUCACUGGGUGUAAAGGGAGCGCAGGCGGUACGGCGAGUCUGAUGUGAAAACCCGGGGCCCAACCCCGGGCCCGCACCGUAUACUGCCGGACUCGAGUGCCGGAGGGGCAGGCGGAAUUCCUGGUGUAGCGGUGAAAUGCGCAGAUAUCAGGAGGAACACCGGUGGCGAAGGCGGCCUGCUGGACGGUAACCGACGCUGAGGCUCGAACGCGUGGGGAGCGAACAGGAUUAGAUACCCGAGUAG
RNAcentral lists this ribosomal RNA (448 nucleotides) under uncultured bacterium. RNAcentral's name for it is "bacterial SSU rRNA". It matches the Rfam family "Bacterial small subunit ribosomal RNA", at positions 331 to 793 of the family's 1533-position model. The record is from RNAcentral.